RNAcentral lists this unclassified non-coding RNA (645 nucleotides) under Hevea brasiliensis (rubber tree). The record is from RNAcentral. Lineage: Eukaryota; Viridiplantae; Streptophyta; Magnoliopsida; Malpighiales; Euphorbiaceae.
GCAAACUGUAGUUCUAUUGCAGGGUAGACAGUAUGUUGCACCAAGCACCAGAAACUAUGUACAUUUCGUUCAGCAGCAAGCCAUUUUUACAUAUAACAUUGGCAUUCUGCACACCUAUCACAUCCCUGUGCCCAACCCACAGGUUUCUUUUCAAUAUAAAUUUAUUGAACUGUACAUGAAGCUGCACAAGGUUGAUGGCAGGCUAUUUACAGGAUGUCUUACAAUUGCUUUCUCACUGUUCCGGAGGAAAGCUUACCAAACUGGGAAGUGCAGUUGACUGAAGCAUCUUGAUUUCUGAUGUAGUCAACUUGCAAAAGGAUAAUGAGCGUAAAUUAAAGGUUUCAGAUACCGCAACCCCUCAUUGGUUACAAGAGAUUUAAAAUAUUCAUCGACCAAUUCUGCCAAUCCUGCAUUACAUGAAAAACAAGUGCACAAGUCAAUUUGGUCAAUCUCAGAGUUAAGGGAAGUUGAACUUUAACUGAGUGCGAAGCUGAGUCUAGCAGGCGAGCGACAUGACUCUCCUCCUCAAGCCCUCCUUUGGUUCCGCCACUGCUAUCCCAUCUCAAGUCAUAAGAAAAUACAUUAACAUUGUUUUAUUAAAAGAGUAUAGAGAAUUAUUUUUUGCUUUUUUUUUUUUAAUUUUGG